AAUACGGAGGGUGCAAACGUUGCUCGGAAUCAUUGGGCGUAAAGCGCACGUAGGCGGUCCCUUAAGUCGGGUGUGAAAGCCCUCGGCUUAACCGAGGAAGUGCAUUCGAAACUGAGGGACUUGAAUACUGGAGAGGAUGGCGGAAUUCCCGGUGUAGAGGUGAAAUUCGUAGAUAUCGGGAGGAACACCAGCGGCGAAGGCGGCCAUCUGGACAGAUAUUGACGCUGAGGUGCGAAAGCGUGGGGAGCAAACAG
This 254-nucleotide ribosomal RNA is filed under the name uncultured prokaryote. RNAcentral's name for it is "partial 16S ribosomal RNA". It matches the Rfam family "Bacterial small subunit ribosomal RNA", at positions 522 to 775 of the family's 1533-position model. The record is from RNAcentral.